CUGUCAUCCUCAGACUGGGCACGGGAUGUCGGCCCUGAGCUUUCUCUGGAGGCGCUGCAAGAAUACUUCCAGCUAUGGGCGCAUGUUACUCGUGUGGAUCUGAUUCCGGGAGCCAUAGACGAGAUUAGUUGGGCCCGGGAGCCGGAUGGAAGGUACUCUUGUAGAUCUGCAUAUCAGGCCAGAUUUUGGGGCCGAGAAAUGUCACCGACAACCAUCUUCAUGUGGUCAUCCAGGGCUCCGCUCCGUUGUUGGUUCUUCACUUGGCUUGCAAUAUAGAGCAGAUGUUGGACGGCGGACCGGCUGGCCCGUCAUGGCCUUGACCACCAUGACGCUUGCCCCUUCUGCGCCCAGCAAGAGGAGACCAUUGGACAUAUUCUCUUAAACUGUGUUAUGGCAAGGAAGGUGUGGACAAUUGUUUGUACGGCUUUGAACAAGCCGGGAUGGGUUCCGACAAGCGAAACAAACUUGGUGGAUUGGUGUGCGGAGAAGAACGGCACAAGCAAGAGCAUGAAGGAGAUGCAGACGAUAAUCCUCCUUGUUGUGUGGGAAUUAUGGAAGCACCAGAAUGCCAUCGUUUUUUAUGGUUCUACCCCGUCCCUACGAGUUUUGUUACGAACCAUCGAAAGGGAUGGCCGAGCAUGGAAGGAAGUGGGACUUCGGAAUGGAGAUGUGGAAGCUCUCUUUAGGGCUUUGGCUAGGUGGGAGAGCAUGAGAGGGUAG
RNAcentral lists this ribosomal RNA (720 nucleotides) under Triticum aestivum (bread wheat). RNAcentral's name for it is "partial small subunit ribosomal RNA". Lineage: Eukaryota; Viridiplantae; Streptophyta; Magnoliopsida; Poales; Poaceae. The record is from RNAcentral.